Molecule: ribosomal RNA, 492 nt
Filed under: uncultured bacterium
Lineage: Bacteria
Description: partial 16S ribosomal RNA
Rfam family: Bacterial small subunit ribosomal RNA
Source: RNAcentral
AGUGAACGCUGGCGGCAGGCCUAAUACAUGCAAGUCGAACGGUAGCACAGUAAGAGCCUGCUCUUAAGGGUGGCGAGACGCGGACGGGUGAGGAAUAUAUCCGAACUUACUUUUUCGUGGGGGUUUACGUAGGGAAACCUAAGCUAACAUCGCAUCAGAUCUACGGGUGUAAGUAGGGGAUCUUCGCAACUUCUGCGAUACAAUGUGCAGAUGCCGGAUUGGAUAGUUGGCGGGGAAAAGGCGCUCCAAGGGGACGAUCCGUAGCUGCUCGCUGAGGAUGAUCAGCCACACUGGAACUGAGACACGGUCCGGACUCCUACGGGAGGCAGCGGUGGGGAAUAUUGGACAAUGGGCGCAAUCCUAAUCCAGCCAUACCGCGUGGGUGAGGAAGGCCUUCGAUUUGUAAGGCCCUUUUUUUGAGAAAGAAAAGCAGCAGGUUAAUACCCCGCUGUUCUGACGGUACCCAAAGAGUAAGCGCCGGCUAACUUCGUG